Molecule: ribosomal RNA, 1728 nt
Filed under: Durio zibethinus
Lineage: Eukaryota; Viridiplantae; Streptophyta; Magnoliopsida; Malvales; Malvaceae
Description: SSU rRNA
Rfam family: Eukaryotic small subunit ribosomal RNA
Source: RNAcentral
CCUGGUUGAUCUUGCCAGUAGUCAUAUGCUUGUCUCAAAGAUUAAGCUAGGUAUGUGUAAGUAUAAACUAAUUCAGACUAUGAAACUGCGAAUGGCUUAUUAAAUCAGUUAUAGUUUGUUUAAUAGUAUCUACUACUCGGAUAACUGUAGUAAUUUAGUGCUAAUACAUGCAACAAACCCUGACUUUUGGAAGUGAUGCAUUUAUUAGAUAAAAGGUCAACGUGGGCUUUGCCUGUUGCUCUGAUGAUUCAUGAUAUUUUGACAGAUCACACAGCUUUUAUGCCGAUUAUGCAUCAUUCAAAGUUUUGCAUUAUCAACUUUCAAUGGUAGGAUAGUGGCCUACUAUGGUGGUGACCGGUGAUAAAGAAUUAGGGUUCGAUUCCGGAGAAAGAGCCUAAGAAAUGACUACCACAUCCAAGGAAGGCAGCAAGAGCGCAAAUUACCUAAUCCUGACAUGAGAAGAUAGUGAUAAUAAAUAACAAUAUCGGGCUCUAUGAGUUUGAUAAUUGGAAUGAACAUAAUCUAAAUCCCUUAACGAGGAUCCAUUAGAGAGCAAGUAUGGUGUCAGGGGCCAUAGUAAUUCCAGCUCCAAUAGCAUAUAUUUAAGCUAUUGUAGUUAAAAAGCUCAUAAUUAGAACUAGGGUUGGGUCAUCUAAUCUGACUCACAGUGAGCACCAGUCUACUCUCUUUAUUGCCAAUGAUGCUCUCCAACAUUGUUACUUUGAAGAAAUUAGAGUGCUCAAAGUCAGACUACACUUGUAUACAUUAGCAUGUGAUAACACAUAGGAUUUGGGUCAUAUUGUGUUGGCCUUUAGGAUCAGAGUAAUGAUUAACAAGGAUAGUCGGGGGCAUUCGCAUUUUAUAGUCAGAGGUAAAAUUCUUGGAUUUAUGAAAGACGAACAACUGCGAAAGCAUUUACCAAGGAUGUUUUCAUUAAUCAAGAAUAAAAGUUAAGGGGUUGAAGAUGAUCAUAUACCAUCCUAGUCUCAAUCAUAAAAGAUGUUGACCAGGGAUUGACAAAUAUUACUUUUAAGACUCCAUCGACACCUUAUGAGAAAUCAAAGUCUCUAGGUUCUGAGAGGACUAUGGUCGCAAAGCUGAAACUUAAAGAAUUGCUGAAAGGGAGCCAAUAGGAGUGGAGCUUGGGGCUUAAUUUGACUCAACAUGGGAAAACUUACCAGGGCCAGACAUAAUGAGGAUUAACAGAUUGAGAGCUCUUUCUUGAUUCAAUGGGUGGUGGAGUGAUUUGUCUGGUUAAUUCUGUUAAUGAAUGAGUCCUCAAUCUACUAACUAGCUAAUGAAGGUGAUCUUUCAUAGCUAGCUUUUUAGAGGGACUAUGACUGUUUAGGCGAAGGAAGUUUAAGGUAAUAACAGGUCUGUGAUGCCCUUAAAUGUUUUGGGCUGUACGUGUGCUACAUUGAUGUGUUCAAUGAGUUUAUAGCCUUGGCUGAUAGGUAUGGGUAAUCUUUGAAAUUUUAUCAUGAUUGGGAUAGAUCACUGCAAUUGUUUAUCUUUAAUGAGAAAUUCUUAGUAAGCUCACAUUGGCCACGUCUUUGCCCUUUAUACACAUCGCUCGUCAUUCUUACCAAUUGAAUGAUCUGGUGAAGCAUUCAGAUCGUAGCAACAUGGAUGGUUUCCUGCCCAUAAUGUCAUAAGAAGUCCACUGAACCUUAUCAUUUAGAGGAAAGAGAAGUCGUAACAAGGUUUCUAUAGGUGAACCUGUGGAAG